GCGGAUGUAGCCAAGUGGAUGAAGGCAGUGGAUUGUGAAUCUACCAUGCGCGGGUUCAAUUCUCGUCAUUCGCC
RNAcentral lists this transfer RNA (74 nucleotides) under Medicago truncatula (barrel medic). It matches the Rfam family "tRNA". From Rfam's summary of the family: Transfer RNA (tRNA) molecules are approximately 80 nucleotides in length. Their secondary structure includes four short double-helical elements and three loops (D, anti-codon, and T loops). Further hydrogen bonds mediate the characteristic L-shaped molecular structure. tRNAs have two regions of fundamental functional importance: the anti-codon, which is responsible for specific mRNA codon recognition, and the 3' end, to which the tRNAs corresponding amino acid is attached (by aminoacyl-tRNA synthetases). tRNAs cope with the degeneracy of the genetic code in two manners: having more than one tRNA (with a specific anti-codon) for a particular amino acid; and 'wobble' base-pairing, i.e. permitting non-standard base-pairing at the 3rd anti-codon position. Lineage: Eukaryota; Viridiplantae; Streptophyta; Magnoliopsida; Fabales; Fabaceae. The record is from Rfam by way of RNAcentral.